GGGUGAUUAGCUCAGUGGUAGAGCGCUUCGUUCACAUCGAAGAUGUCAGGGGUUCAAAUCCCUUAUUACCCACCA
RNAcentral lists this transfer RNA (75 nucleotides) under Rhodobacterales bacterium 56_14_T64. Its description in RNAcentral is "tRNA-Val". It matches the Rfam family "tRNA". From Rfam's summary of the family: Transfer RNA (tRNA) molecules are approximately 80 nucleotides in length. Lineage: Bacteria; Pseudomonadati; Pseudomonadota; Alphaproteobacteria; Rhodobacterales. The record is from RNAcentral.